This 296-nucleotide unclassified non-coding RNA is filed under the name Hevea brasiliensis (rubber tree). Lineage: Eukaryota; Viridiplantae; Streptophyta; Magnoliopsida; Malpighiales; Euphorbiaceae. The record is from RNAcentral.
UUUUCAAGCGUUAUGAAACACAGAGAAAAAACGAACAUCAAAGGAAAUGAUUUUCUGGAUUUGCUGAUAGACUUGAAGAAAAAUCAAGAUUUUAGAGAAAAAUUCGCUUUUGAGACAACCGAAGCGACAGCGCAGGCAUUCCAAUUUUUCGUAGCGGGCUUUGAAACGACCAGCUCUACGAUAUCAUACACAUUGUACGAGCUGUGUAAGCGUCCGAAAUAUCAAAAUACCUUGAGAGAAGAAAUAAAGGCCGCUAUGGCUAAAGAUGGUGAUAUAACCUACGAAAAUUUGAUGGG